Molecule: long non-coding RNA, 4221 nt
Organism: Canis lupus familiaris (dog)
Lineage: Eukaryota; Metazoa; Chordata; Mammalia; Carnivora; Canidae
Exons: 3
Source: RefSeq, a predicted model, not a curated record
UUCAAGAAGACCAUAGCCUUGAAGAGUAACUUCCUGCUUGGAGACUGGGCUCCUGUGUCACCCUAGGCAAGCUAUAUAUCCGGGCUUCAGUUUCCUCAUCUGCAAACCUGAGACCCCAGUGUCAGCUUCCUCAGAGCGUAAUCCAGGUUUAAAAUGUUUCAACAUAAAAGGUUUGAGGGAGAAAACAGAAAGCGAGUCUUCACUUUUGCAGACAAUGAAGAAAAGAAGAAAGGAAAGAAAGGGUAAGGGAUACAUUUUCUGAGCCUGUCCGAGCAUCACUCUUGCUGCUGCUAAGGGGAGGACAGAUGGGCAGCGGGGAGACCAGUCACCCGGGGGGCGGGGAUCUCAGCGGGGCGGACGAGAGACCGUGGUGGUGUGGGCUAGGCUGGAACGGUCCCUCCCGUAUGGAGCCCCUACUUUCUGAGGAGUAGGACACGGUGCCAUCUGUUGAAGACAAGAGGGAAGCCUGGAAAUAGCCCCUGCGGAGGACGGGCUCAGAGGCUGACGGGGUGAAGCGGGCGGUCACACGGCGUCGUGGGCCAGCUGAGAUUUGCAACAAGGAGCCUCCGACGGAACCCAGCAGCAGGGCUGUGGGUGUCUCCCAUCCGCAGCCAAGACCCCAAAAUGCCAGGUUGACAAGCAGGAGCGGCAAAGAGCCUGAGGAUAUAGACCGCGCCUGCGAGGAAAGACAUGCCCUGCCUCCCAAACAGGUGAUGCCCUGUACUCCAGGGCAACCAGUAAGCCGCGCUAUUCUGUAAUGGGACUGCACGGACUAAAGGGGCUCGAUGAAGUUGUUUCGGGUGCUAUUUUAAUUUUGCUGGCGGGUUUCAGACUCCUCAAAGACGGGGCUCAGGCCUUACAAGGCAGUACAAUGUAGAAGUAAUGCCCAGGGGGUAUCAGGCUGGGACUCUGGAGCUCAGAGGACAAUCCCUUGCUACCCGUGUCCCUCUUUGUGUGCAUCACCACACAAGACAACAUUCUAAACGUCACGCUGCCCACGUGUAAAAAAGUUGUGACGAGAGUUCUACUUUAGACGCCAACACCUUAAUCUAACGCUUUUUAUACAAUCAUGUUGCAAAACGCUGACGUAUCACACUUUCCAGAGAGCUGCUCCACUCAGGCGACCUGCAUUCAGAGAGAGGACGAUGAAGUGGACACACACCUUUGCACAUUUGCUGGGGUUUGAGGACGUAGCCACAAUUGCCAUUGGUCUUGAAUUUGGCUCGAUUUAAUUGCAUCAUUCGCCCUUCGGACUGGUAGUUCAGAGCCACUGCGCAAGUUCAAAGUUUGAGAGAAUUAGGCAAGGCAGCAGCGUGGAGCCAGGGCCUACAGGGAAAGGCUCCGAGGCAUACGCACCUAGCUGGCAGCCUGCGUUCCAGUAGGGCAGAGGGUUGAAGUUACUGGAAUCGAUGCGGUAGGCAGACGGGUAAAUCCUCGUGAGCUGCUUUUGGUUGUAGAUCAUGAACUGCUCCGAUUUCUGCUGAACCACCUGAUGUGCUCUUGUUUCACUAAAUGAUAACACGUUUCCUGUGGUUCCUGGCAGUUUGUAAUAAAGAAAAAAGAAAAGCGAGAACCUCAGUCAGGGAAACAGCACCCACGAAAGACUUUCUAAUACAUCAGAUUAUGCCCAUAAGAAAAUGCAGAGCAAAAGACUGAAUUCAGACCGGACUAGAAGUAGCUUCUGACCAAGAAAGAUCCAUAAAAUCCCAUUCUUGAGACUCUCUUCAUGGUUUUGAGGUCAAAUCUGAGCUGCUCAUCUUGCAAGGAUAACUGCAUGUUUCUGAGUCCCGCGUUCUCCCAGAAAUUCAAUCAUCCCACUAAUUCACGUCUAUCUGGCUAGUAUGAGGAGGGCUGGCAGGAAAAUUAUCUUCUAGGGGUGUGAUUCCAACAGACUCUCUUUGCCAAAGAUACAGACAGUCAUGGAUGAAUAAAACUAUGUAACUUAUUCCUGAUAUUCAUUGACAGCAUUCAUCCUAAAAGCACACAUGUAAAGCACCUAUUAACUGACAGCAGAAAGAAAAUAAAAGACCAAUUCCAAAGGAGAAAAACGGAGUUUCAACGUUAAUUUGAAUAGAAUUGUGAAACUAGUCAAAAGCUAUUUGGAUAAAAGGCAUAAUAAUGGAGAAAGAUUUUGAAAGAGCAUUAUAAAUACAUAAAAUCUCAGAAACAAGAAUAAUCACCCACCAUCCACAUAAACCAUGGGAAAAAAAAAUAAAGGGAGGUAAAAGAAUAGGAAGCCCGUGCUAAAGUUUCUGCUUGGACUGUCAUCAGAAGGUGUCGAUCCAGGGCCAACGAGGCUCCAAAUCUAGGGGUCGUGAUGGAUGGAGUUAACCUCCAGGCAUUCAGUAUCCCACCCUUGUCUCCCAAUCCCGGGUCUACAAUGCCCCUACUACUCCUACCCCUUCGCCAAACGUCCUCACCCUACCCCCAAAGUGACCCCUCAUAAGUCUUCUGGACAUGCUGGGCGCAGCCGGCCCGAAUAAAGACCCAAGCUUGCCCAGAGCCUCGUGUCCAUUCCAGAGUUUACUGACAAGCUCAGUGUGUCUGAACCCAGACGGAGGGACACGGCUCAUGACGGCAAGGAGCUGAACCCUACGGCCCUGCUGGGCCAACUGGGCCUGAAUGGUAUCCACACGGUGUGUUAGUUGGAGCACGUAGCAUCAUCCCAGGGCCCCUGGCGUCCUCAGGACUGUCUGACCUAGGACAUUAAACGCUGGCCAGAUGACUACUGACUACACUGUAGAGAUGGAUCCUGGGAUGAUCGUGACUACCAGACGGAGGCCAAGAGAUUAGGGAAUUACAGUUUUUAAUCUGACGAUUUCCCUCAGGGACACUCUUUCCUUACCACAUAUAUUUUAUUGACACACUUACAAACCAUAGUUUCUGUUUGUCAAGCAUACGAAAAAUAAUCUUACUUGCGGGUUUUGAGGGGCAAUGCCUUAAAACAUGACAGGAGAAGGUAUACUGUCUUUUUGACAAGCCACAGUCAGAUGCAGUGACACCAGAGCCAGUGCCACUCUUCUGUCUCUCCACAUAAGUAUGUACACCACAUCCUCCAGAAGGUGACCUUGCUAAUUAGGCACAUGCCAAUUAGCAUAUGAAUAGAUCUGCGUUGCUUUGCAUUGGGAUAAGGCAUGCAUUCAUUAUUUAUCGCUCACUUUGCCACGCGACACGGCGGUUCAAGAGCUAGAGAGUACUCAAUACUAUUUUCCAUUAAGCUAAUAGAAUUAUGGUUUCUUAAGGUAUUUAUUAGAAAUCAUACUCCUGGGGGAACCUGAGUGGUUCAGCUAAUUAAGCAUCUGACUCUUGGUUGCCACUCAGGUCAUGAUUUCCAGGUCCUGGGAUUUAGGGGACCUCCUGCCUGAGGAUUCUCUUUCUCUCUCUCUCUCUUCUUUCUCUCUGCCCACUCCCGCUCAUGUUUUUUCUCUCCCUCUAAUAAAUAAAUCUUUUCCAAAAAAAUUACAUUCUUCUAAACCAAAUACACCUUUAGCUCCACUAGACCACUCACUGGGUUGAUUUCCUAGCUAUGGACGGUUAUUAUAAGGACAGGUUCUCAUGUUCUCGCAUGUGAAAUCAUUAUUUUUUUUAUUGUCUCCAUUUGAAGAAAGAAUCAAUAUCACACGUAGGACAGAAAAAGAUACACUUGUGGAAUGGUAAAAACAAAAAGGAGAGACCUGAAGGGAGGGAUCCUGGAGGUUUGACACAGAAGACUUGGCACGACGUCAUCUUUCCUUUACUAAGAUUUGUUGGAAAAUGGGAGAUUUUUAAAUUUGCAUUUCACUUCCACUAAAACUAAAAUUAGAUUGCAAGGCCGCACGGCUGUCGUUUAUUUCUAUAAGCAUUCAGUAACUGAACAAAACAGAAAUGCUAAGGGAAGAGGAUAAAGGGAAGAAGAGGAGCUAGCAGGAAGGUGCAGGGUAAGAACACUUGUGACUAGGAUCUCUCAACGCAACAGGAUGCAAAUAAUAGAUGGAAAACAGUGAAAGAAUCAGUGCUUCUGAAAUUCCCGCUCUUUCUGUUAAAUCUUCAAUCCGUGGGCUAAAUCAUUUUCACCAAAGUCAAACUUUCCAAUCAGAAAAUAUGGGACUUUUCAAGGUGUUAUUUUUUAUUAUUAUUAUUAUUUAAGCUCAAUUUGCCAGCAUAUGGGAUAACAAGGGCGCAUCGCGUCAUGUGCCCUCCUUAAUCGAGGUGUUAUUUUAGCUUUCUGCUUUCUUCUGGUCA